UACGGAAGAGGCAAGCGUUGUUCGGAAUCACUGGGCUUAAAGCGCGUGUAGGCGGCCUUGCAAGUACCUUGUGAAAUCCCUCCCCUCAACGGAGGAAUUGCUUGGUAUACUGCAGGGCUUGAGGCAGGUAGGGGUCACUGGAACUCUAGGUGGAGCGGUGAAAUGCGUAGAUAUCUAGAGGAACGCCCGUGGCGAAAGCGGGUGACUGGGCCUGUCCUGACGCUGAGACGCGAAAGCGUGGGUAGCAAACGGG
This 253-nucleotide ribosomal RNA is filed under the name uncultured bacterium. RNAcentral describes it as "partial 16S ribosomal RNA". It matches the Rfam family "Bacterial small subunit ribosomal RNA", at positions 524 to 776 of the family's 1533-position model. The record is from RNAcentral.